UACGUAGGGUGCGAGCGUUAAUCGGAAUUACUGGGCGUAAAGUGUGCGCAGGCGGCCGAGCAAGUCGAGUGUGAAAGCCCCGGGCUUAACUUGGGAAUUGCGCUCGAAACUACUUGGCUGGGGUGUGGCAGAGGAAGGUGGAAUUCUCGGUGUAGCGGUGAAAUGCGUAGAUAUCGAGAGGAACACCUGCGGCGAAGGCGGGUUGCUGGGCUGAUACUGACGCUGAGGCGCGAAAGCCAGGGGAGCGAACGGG
Molecule: ribosomal RNA, 253 nt
Filed under: uncultured bacterium
Lineage: Bacteria
Description: partial 16S ribosomal RNA
Rfam family: Bacterial small subunit ribosomal RNA
Source: RNAcentral